GAUGAACGCUGGCGGCGUGCCUAAUACAUGCAAGUCGAGCGAACAGACGAGGAGCUUGCUCCUCUGACGUUAGCGGCGGACGGGUGAGUAACACGUGGAUAACCUACCUAUAAGACUGGGAUAACUUUGGGAAACCGGAGCUAAUACCGGAUAAUAUAUUGAGCCGCAUGGUUCAAUAGUGAAAGACGGUUUUGCUGUCACUUAUAGAUGGAUCCGCGCCGCAUUAGCUAGUUGGUAAGGUAACGGCUUACCAAGGCGACGAUGCGUAGCCGACCUGAGAGGGGGCCGGGCACCAGGGGACGUGGGACAGGGACAGGACCCCACGGGGGGGCGCAGUGGGGGAAUCUGCCGAAUGGGGGGAAGGCCGGAGGGAGAACCCCGGCGGGAGUAAGAAGGGUCUUGGAAUCAAAAAACUUUGUUAUUGGGGAAAAAAAAAUGUGAAAGAAACAAUGCCCCUCUGGCGGGUACCUAACAGAAAGCCCACGACAAGUAAGGUC
RNAcentral lists this ribosomal RNA (497 nucleotides) under uncultured bacterium. RNAcentral's name for it is "partial 16S ribosomal RNA". It matches the Rfam family "Bacterial small subunit ribosomal RNA", at positions 28 to 508 of the family's 1533-position model. The record is from RNAcentral.